UGGAUUAGGCAUGCAAGUCGAACGAGAAUCCGUGAGUUCAAGCCGCAAGGCAAGAAAAUACGGAGGAGAGUGGCGAAAGGGUGAGGAACACGUGGGCAAUCUAUCUCGAAGUUGAGUAUAACCCGUUGAAAAAUGGGCUAAUACUGGAUGUGAUCGUCCGCCGCAUGGCGGAUUGUUUAAAGGCAGGGACCCGCAAGGGCCUGUCGCUUUGAGACGAGCUCGCGUCCUAUCAGCUAGUUGGUGAGGUAACGGCUCACCAAGGCUAUGACGGGUAGCUGGUCUGAGAGGAUGGUCAGCCACACUGGGACUGAGACACUGCCCAGACUCCUACGGGAGGCUGCAGUCGAGGAUCAUUUGCAAUGGGCGAAAGCCUGACAAUGCGACGCUGCGUGGAGGAUGACGGCCUUCGGGUUGUAAACUCCUGUCAUUUGGGAACAAGUCCGGGCCGGGGAUAAUCCGGUUCGGGUUGAUAGUACCAGAAGAGGAAGUCACGGCUAACUCUGUGCCAGCAGCCGCGGUGAUACAGAGGUGGCAAGCGUUGUUCGGAUUUACUGGGCGUAAAGGGUGCGUAGGUGGUUUUGCAUGUCAGAUGUGAAAGCUCAUCGCUCAACGGUGAAAGUGCAUUUGAAACUGCAGGACUAGAGUACAGGGGAGGAGAGUGGAACUUC
Molecule: ribosomal RNA, 668 nt
Filed under: uncultured Planctomycetales bacterium
Lineage: Bacteria; Pseudomonadati; Planctomycetota; Planctomycetia; Planctomycetales
Description: bacterial SSU rRNA
Rfam family: Bacterial small subunit ribosomal RNA
Source: RNAcentral